CCUACGGGUGGCAGCAGUCGAGAAUCAUUCACAAUGGGGGAAACCCUGAUGGUGCGACGCCGCGUGGGGGAAUGAAGGUCUUCGGAUUGUAAACCCCUGUCAUGUGGGAGCAAAUUAAAAAGAUAGUACCACAAGAGGAAGAGACGGCUAACUCUGUGCCAGCAGCCGAGGUAAUACAGAGGUCUCAAGCGUUGUUCGGAAUCACUGGGCGUAAAGCGUGCGUAGGGUGGUUCGUAAGUCGUGUGUGAAAGGCGCGGGCUCAACCCGAGGACGGCACAUGAUACUGCGAGACUAGAGUGAUGGAGGGGGAAGCGGAAUUCUGGGUGUAGCAGUGAAAUGCGUAGAUA
RNAcentral lists this ribosomal RNA (347 nucleotides) under uncultured bacterium. RNAcentral's name for it is "partial 16S ribosomal RNA". It matches the Rfam family "Bacterial small subunit ribosomal RNA", at positions 338 to 696 of the family's 1533-position model. The record is from RNAcentral.